GCCGGGCGUGGUGGUGUGCGCCUGUAAUCCCAGCUAUUCUGGAGGCUGAGGCAGGAGAAUCACUUGAGCCCGGGAGUUAGAGGUUGCAGUUAGCUGAGAUCAGCCACUGCACUCCAGCCUGGGCAACAGAGUGAGACUCCGUCUCAA
This 147-nucleotide signal recognition particle RNA is filed under the name Homo sapiens (human). RNAcentral describes it as "Metazoan signal recognition particle RNA". It matches the Rfam family "Metazoan signal recognition particle RNA". From Rfam's summary of the family: The signal recognition particle (SRP) is a universally conserved ribonucleoprotein. It is involved in the co-translational targeting of proteins to membranes. The record is from Rfam by way of RNAcentral. Lineage: Eukaryota; Metazoa; Chordata; Mammalia; Primates; Hominidae.